GAGAGAGAGAGAGGUGGCUGUGUUGAAUGCUCACAGGAGAGGCAUCAAAGGCCUAGCUGGAGAAACCGGAGAGGAGGGCUGUUUUCACCCUGCAGCACAGUCUAUCAUAAAUAUUAAGCGGCGCCCUCCUCCACAACGCCGGCUCCAUCGUUGCCCUUUUAAUGAGGUGAUAUCCAGACACACGGGAGCAGAUGUUGCAAGGAAAACACACUGUGACGUGAUUGUGAUCGAUGCGCGCCUCCCACCGCAUCCACUGCAUAAUUCGGUGGAUGGCAUCAGGAUAACAACCUGCAUUAUGUGGAGACAGCUGUCGCCACAGAGCCCGGGCAGCCACGGUAUUGGCUCCCGCCUUAUUUCAGGCAGAGGCGGGAAGCCAAUUAGAGUGAUUUACAGCUUGCUUGUG
Molecule: long non-coding RNA, 403 nt
Organism: Oreochromis aureus
Lineage: Eukaryota; Metazoa; Chordata; Actinopteri; Cichliformes; Cichlidae
Source: Ensembl